CAGUAGCGUAUAUUAAUGUUGUUGCAGUUAAAAAGCUCGUAGUUGGAUUUCUAGUCGUCUUGCUUGAUCCGCGCCACUCGAUGGUUGUGAGUAUCUCUGUGAGACGCCUAUCCUAUCACUUCUUGAUUCGGGUUCGUCCUGGGUCAUGGGUGGUUCUUUUACUUUGAAAAAUUAGAGUGUUUAAAGCAGGCUUGCGCAAUUGAAUACAUUAGCAUGGAAUAAUAAUAUAGGACUUCGGUCUCUAUUUUGUUGGUUUCUAGAACUGAAGUAAUGAUUGAUAGGGAUAGUUGGGGGUAGUUCAUAUUUAAUUGUCAGAGGUGAAAUUACUUGGAUUUAUGAAAGAUGAACUUAGGCGAAAGCAUUACCUAAGGAUGUUUUCAUUAAUCAAGAACGAAAGUUAGGGAUCGAAGACGAUUAGAUACCGU
This 425-nucleotide ribosomal RNA is filed under the name uncultured eukaryote. Its description in RNAcentral is "bacterial SSU rRNA". It matches the Rfam family "Eukaryotic small subunit ribosomal RNA", at positions 592 to 1018 of the family's 1831-position model. The record is from RNAcentral.